RNAcentral lists this ribosomal RNA (1380 nucleotides) under Curtobacterium flaccumfaciens. RNAcentral describes it as "bacterial SSU rRNA". It matches the Rfam family "Bacterial small subunit ribosomal RNA". The record is from RNAcentral. Lineage: Bacteria; Bacillati; Actinomycetota; Actinomycetes; Micrococcales; Microbacteriaceae.
AGAAUGCAGUCGAACGAUGAUGCCCAGCUUGCUGGGUGGAUUAGUGGCGAACGGGUGAGUAACACGUGAGUAACCUGCCCCUGACUCUGGGAUAAGCGUUGGAAACGACGUCUAAUACUGGAUAUGAUCACUGGCCGCAUGGUCUGGUGGUGGAAAGAUUUUUUGGUUGGGGAUGGACUCGCGGCCUAUCAGCUUGUUGGUGAGGUAAUGGCUCACCAAGGCGACGACGGGUAGCCGGCCUGAGAGGGUGACCGGCCACACUGGGACUGAGACACGGCCCAGACUCCUACGGGAGGCAGCAGUGGGGAAUAUUGCACAAUGGGCGAAAGCCUGAUGCAGCAACGCCGCGUGAGGGAUGACGGCCUUCGGGUUGUAAACCUCUUUUAGUAGGGAAGAAGCGAAAGUGACGGUACCUGCAGAAAAAGCACCGGCUAACUACGUGCCAGCAGCCGCGGUAAUACGUAGGGUGCAAGCGUUGUCCGGAAUUAUUGGGCGUAAAGAGCUCGUAGGCGGUUUGUCGCGUCUGCUGUGAAAUCCCGAGGCUCAACCUCGGGCUUGCAGUGGGUACGGGCAGACUAGAGUGCGGUAGGGGAGAUUGGAAUUCCUGGUGUAGCGGUGGAAUGCGCAGAUAUCAGGAGGAACACCGAUGGCGAAGGCAGAUCUCUGGGCCGUAACUGACGCUGAGGAGCGAAAGCAUGGGGAGCGAACAGGAUUAGAUACCCUGGUAGUCCAUGCCGUAAACGUUGGGCGCUAGAUGUAGGGACCUUUCCACGGUUUUCUGUGUCGUAGCUAACGCAUUAAGCGCCCCGCCUGGGGAGUACGGCCGCAAGGCUAAAACUCAAAGGAAUUGACGGGGGCCCGCACAAGCGGCGGAGCAUGCGGAUUAAUUCGAUGCAACGCGAAGAACCUUACCAAGGCUUGACAUACACCGGAAACGGCCAGAGAUGGUCGCCCCCUUGUGGUCGGUGUACAGGUGGUGCAUGGUUGUCGUCAGCUCGUGUCGUGAGAUGUUGGGUUAAGUCCCGCAACGAGCGCAACCCUCGUUCUAUGUUGCCAGCGGGUUAUGCCGGGGACUCAUAGGAGACUGCCGGGGUCAACUCGGAGGAAGGUGGGGAUGACGUCAAAUCAUCAUGCCCCUUAUGUCUUGGGCUUCACGCAUGCUACAAUGGCCGGUACAAAGGGCUGCGAUACCGUAAGGUGGAGCGAAUCCCAAAAAGCCGGUCUCAGUUCGGAUUGAGGUCUGCAACUCGACCUCAUGAAGUCGGAGUCGCUAGUAAUCGCAGAUCAGCAACGCUGCGGUGAAUACGUUCCCGGGCCUUGUACACACCGCCCGUCAAGUCAUGAAAGUCGGUAACACCCGAAGCCGGUGGCCUAACUCGU